This 253-nucleotide ribosomal RNA is filed under the name uncultured bacterium. Its description in RNAcentral is "partial 16S ribosomal RNA". It matches the Rfam family "Bacterial small subunit ribosomal RNA", at positions 524 to 776 of the family's 1533-position model. The record is from RNAcentral.
UACGGAGGAGGCAAGCGUUAUCCGGAAUUAUUGGGCGUAAAGCGUCCGCAGGUGGCGAUUCAAGUCUGCGGUUAAAGACUGGGGCUUAACCCUGGAAAGGCCGUGGAAACUGAAACGCUAGAGUGCAGUAGGGGUAGAGGGAAUUCCCGGUGUAGCGGUGAAAUGCGUAGAGCUCGGGAAGAACAUCGGUGGCGAAAGCGCUCUGCUGGACUGCAACUGACACUCAGGGACGAAAGCUAGGGGAGCGAACGGG